GUGUGUGUGUGAGUGUUGUGUUGCUAUAUAAGAUCCUCAUCAGCUGAUAGGGAAAGAUUAUGUUGAAAAGAAGAAGUUUAGAGAUGGAUGUGAGGAAAGUGAUGAGAGCAAUUGGUAUGCUAGUUUUAGGUGUGGGAAUGCUAAGUGGAAAAUCCUCAGCUACUUUCAAAGACUGCUACACCAAAUGCUUCAUUUUCUGCAUGAUUGAACCUUCUCAAACCCUUUGUUCCUGCACCACACACUGCUUGAAGGAUUGCAUCUUCCAAGAAAUCCAGAACGAUCUUCGUGAAGAUUCCGACAACCUCGGCUUCUGCAAACUCGGCUGCGCCUUCUCCAUGUGCUCUACUUUCAGCUCCAAACGCACGCCCAGUAAUUAAUAACCCUUCUUCUUCUUCUUCUUCCUCUUCUUCUUCUUNCAAAGAUCUUGGAUUCGAGUCAACAAUUGACGUGGACCUUUAAAUUUAAACUAGUUAAAAUUAGACCAAAAAAACAAAAAAAAAAAGAAAGUAACUCAUCUCAUCUCCACUGUCUGCUGAAUUCACUUAUACAUUACAUAUAUAUGUGUAAUAUAAAUAUUUUAAUAUAUAAAGUGGUAUUUUAACCACCAUUUGAAAAGUGUGAUACGAAAUUAGCUCGAACAACUUAAUUAUAAGUGGGCAUCCCAAAAAUGGGUUACUACUGGCCACUCACAUGACUGCCAUAAGAUGCAUAUAAUAUAACUAUUCAUUUCAAAUGUGUGUGUGUGAGUGUUGUGUUGCUAUAUAAGAUCCUCAUCAGCUGAUAGGGAAAGAUUAUGUUGAAAAGAAGAAGUUUAGAGAUGGAUGUGAGGAAAGUGAUGAGAGCAAUUGGUAUGCUAGUUUUAGGUGUGGGAAUGCUAAGUGGAAAAUCCUCAGCUACUUUCAAAGACUGCUACACCAAAUGCUUCAUUUUCUGCAUGAUUGAACCUUCUCAAACCCUUUGUUCCUGCACCACACACUGCUUGAAGGAUUGCAUCUUCCAAGAAAUCCAGAACGAUCUUCGUGAAGAUUCCGACAACCUCGGCUUCUGCAAACUCGGCUGCGCCUUCUCCAUGUGCUCUACUUUCAGCUCCAAACGCACGCCCAGUAAUUAAUAACCCUUCUUCUUCUUCUUCUUCUUCUUC
Molecule: long non-coding RNA, 1141 nt
Filed under: Salvia miltiorrhiza (redroot sage)
Lineage: Eukaryota; Viridiplantae; Streptophyta; Magnoliopsida; Lamiales; Lamiaceae
Description: long non-coding RNA (SMIL_LNC000695)
Source: RNAcentral